This 253-nucleotide ribosomal RNA is filed under the name uncultured bacterium. RNAcentral's name for it is "partial 16S ribosomal RNA". It matches the Rfam family "Bacterial small subunit ribosomal RNA", at positions 524 to 776 of the family's 1533-position model. The record is from RNAcentral.
GACGGAGGAUGCAAGCGUUAUCCGGAAUGAUUGGGCGUAAAGCGUCCGCAGGUGGCAGUUCAAGUCUGCUGUCAAAGACCGGGGCUUAACUUCAGAAAGGCAGUGGAAACUGAACAGCUAGAGUAUGGUAGGGGCAGAGGGAAUUCCUGGUGUAGCGGUGAAAUGCGUAGAGAUCAGGAAGAACAUCGGUGGCGAAGGCGCUCUGCUGGACCAUAACUGACACUCAGGGACGAAAGCUAGGGGAGCGAAUGGG